GGGGAAUUUUGGACAAUGGGCGAAAGCCUGAUCCAGCCAUGCCGCGUGAGUGAAGAAGGCCUUCGGGUUGUAAAGCUCUUUUAGUCGGAAAGAAAGAGUUGCAAUGAAUAAUUGUGAUUUAUGACGGUACCGACAGAAAAAGCACCGGCUAACUACGUGCCAGCAGCCGCGGUAAUACGUAGGGUGCGAGCGUUAAUCGGAAUUACUGGGCGUAAAGGGUGCGCAGGCGGUCUUGCAAGUCAGAUGUGAAAGCCCCGGGCUUAACCUGGGAAUUGCGUUUGAAACUACAAGACUAGAGUGCAGCAGAGGGGAGUGGAAUUCCAUGUGUAGCAGUGAAAUGCGUAGAGAUGUGGAAGAACACCGAUGGCGAAGGCAGCUCCCUGGGUUGACACUGACGCUCAUGCACGAAAGCGUGGGGAGCAAAC
RNAcentral lists this ribosomal RNA (425 nucleotides) under uncultured bacterium. Its description in RNAcentral is "bacterial SSU rRNA". It matches the Rfam family "Bacterial small subunit ribosomal RNA", at positions 356 to 773 of the family's 1533-position model. The record is from RNAcentral.